GCCUAACACAUGCAAGUCGAGCGGAUGAGAAGAGCUUGCUCUUCGAUUCAGCGGCGGACGGGUGAGUAAUACCUAGGAAUCUGCCUGGUAGUGGGGGACAACGUUUCGAAAGGAACGCUAAUACCGCAUACGUCCUACGGGAGAAAGCAGGGGACCUUCGGGCCUUGCGCUAUCAGAUGAGCCUAGGUCGGAUUAGCUAGUUGGUGAGGUAAUGGCUCACCAAGGCGACGAUCCGUAACUGGUCUGAGAGGAUGAUCAGUCACACUGGAACUGAGACACGGUCCAGACUCCUACGGGAGGCAGCAGUGGGGAAUAUUGGACAAUGGGCGAAAGCCUGAUCCAGCCAUGCCGCGUGUGUGAAGAAGGUCUUCGGAUUGUAAAGCACUUUAAGUUGGGAGGAAGGGUACUUACCUAAUACGUGAGUAUUUUGACGUUACCGACAGAAUAAGCACCGGCUAACUCUGUGCCAGCAGCCGCGGUAAUACAGAGGGUGCAAGCGUUAAUCGGAAUUACUGGGCGUAAAGCGCGCGUAGGUGGUUUGUUAAGUUGGAUGUGAAAUCCCCGGGCUCAACCUGGGAACUGCAUCCAAAACUGGCGAGCUAGAGUAGGGCAGAGGGUGGUGGAAUUUCCUGUGUAGCGGUGAAAUGCGUAGAUAUAGGAAGGAACACCAGUGGCGAAGGCGACCACCUGGGCUCAUACUGACACUGAGGUGCGAAAGCGUGGGGAGCAAACAGGAUUAGAUACCCUGGUAGUCCACGCCGUAAACGAUGUCAACUAGCCGUUGGAAUCCUUGAGAUUUUAGUGGCGCAGCUAACGCAUUAAGUUGACCGCCUGGGGAGUACGGCCGCAAGU
RNAcentral lists this ribosomal RNA (852 nucleotides) under Pseudomonas sp. KL2B5. RNAcentral describes it as "bacterial SSU rRNA". It matches the Rfam family "Bacterial small subunit ribosomal RNA", at positions 46 to 893 of the family's 1533-position model. The record is from RNAcentral. Lineage: Bacteria; Pseudomonadati; Pseudomonadota; Gammaproteobacteria; Pseudomonadales; Pseudomonadaceae.